CUAACUACGUGGCCCGUUAGAAAACGGGUUAGGCGCGUAGUAUAAAUUUCACUAUAUGCUGGAAACUUUUGUAAAGACUAAUCUACCGAAAGGUGAAAAUGAUUAGCCAAACCCUAAAAAGUCUGAGACUGACAUAAGGGUUGCAAAACAAUCAGCAGGGAAGAUCCGUCAAUUGGCGGAAACCCUCAGAGACUAUACGUGAAACACUCGAAAGAGUGAAGAUAUAGUCCAUGUUCGGAACGUUUUUUCUAA
This 252-nucleotide non-coding RNA is filed under the name Candidatus Levybacteria bacterium GW2011_GWA2_40_8. RNAcentral describes it as "self-splicing intron". It matches the Rfam family "Group I catalytic intron". Rfam says of the family: Group I catalytic introns are large self-splicing ribozymes. They catalyse their own excision from mRNA, tRNA and rRNA precursors in a wide range of organisms. The core secondary structure consists of 9 paired regions (P1-P9). The record is from RNAcentral. Lineage: Bacteria; Candidatus Levyibacteriota.